Molecule: ribosomal RNA, 504 nt
Filed under: uncultured bacterium
Lineage: Bacteria
Description: bacterial SSU rRNA
Rfam family: Bacterial small subunit ribosomal RNA
Source: RNAcentral
AGUUUGAUCAUGGCUCAGAUUGAACGCUGCGGCAUGCCUUACACAUGCAAGUCGAACGGCAGCACGGGAGGCUUGCUCCUGGCGGCGAGUGGCGAACGGGUGAGUAAUACAUCGGAACGUACCCUGAAGUGGGGGAUAACGUAGCGAAAGUUACGCUAAUACCGCAUAUUCUGUGAGCAGGAAAGAGGGGGAUCGCAAGACCUCUUGCUUUAGGAGCGGCCGAUGUCGGAUUAGCUAGUUGGUGAGGUAAAGGCUCACCAAGGCGACGAUCCGUAGCGGGUCUGAGAGGAUGAUCCGCCACACUGGGACUGAGACACGGCCCAGACUCCUACGGGAGGCAGCAGUGGGGAAUUUUGGACAAUGGGCGCAAGCCUGAUCCAGCCAUGCCGCGUGAGUGAAGAAGGCCUUCGGGUUGUAAAGCUCUUUCGGUGGGGAAGAAAUUGCUUCGGUUAAUACCUGGAGUAGAUGACGGUACCCGCAUAAGAAGCACCGGCUAACUACGUG